This 353-nucleotide long non-coding RNA is filed under the name Gossypium barbadense (sea-island cotton). RNAcentral's name for it is "long non-coding RNA (GBAR_LNC023357)". Lineage: Eukaryota; Viridiplantae; Streptophyta; Magnoliopsida; Malvales; Malvaceae. The record is from RNAcentral.
UACAAGCCCAAUUUUAGCCUGGGGCCCAAUUACAAAAAAACAAAAAAACCAAACCAAUUAAACUAACCCACCAACCCAACUAGCCUAACCCGGAGCCCAAAAACCCGAACGGCCCAAUACCCGAGCCCAAUGGACAAGCCCACAUCAGACUAGGGUUUCAGAGACUGAAACCCUAGUGCCCCACUUGCAUCUACCGCCGCCGUCAAUCACCUCAGCCACCUGCCCUCUGACUCGCGCCGCACCUGCCACCGACACCCUCACCUACUCUACCUGCAAAAGAAAGGAUACAAUAGCAGUAGGAAAUAGGGAUUUUGGUUGUGAAAAAAUGGCUAUAAAAGGCCAUUCAAAAAAAU